RNAcentral lists this ribosomal RNA (380 nucleotides) under uncultured eukaryote. RNAcentral's name for it is "partial 18S ribosomal RNA". It matches the Rfam family "Eukaryotic small subunit ribosomal RNA", at positions 592 to 976 of the family's 1831-position model. The record is from RNAcentral.
CAAUAGCGUAUAUUAAAGUUGUUGCAGUUAAAAAGCUCGUAGUUGGAUUUGUGGCGUAUGGUGUGUUCCGGGCACUUGUUGUCUGAGUAACUUGCCAUUGCCAUCCUUGGGUGGAACCUGUGUGGCAUUAGGUUGUCGUGCAGAGGAUGCCCAUCGUUUACUGUGAAAAAAUUAGAGUGUUCAAAGCAGGCUUAUGCCGUUGAAUAUAUUAGCAUGGAAUAAUAAGAUAGGACUUUUUUGCUAUUUUGUUGGUUUGCGCGAGAAGGUAAUGAUUAAUAGGGAUAGUUGGGGGUAUUCGUAUUCCAUUGUCAGAGGUGAAAUUCUUGGAUUUUUGGAAGACGAACUACUGCGAAAGCAUUUACCAAGGAUGUUUNCAUUAA